GAUGAGUUUGAUCGUGGCUCAGGACGAACGCUGGCGGCGUGCCUAAUACAUGCAAGUCGAGCGGAUCGAUGGGAGCUUGCUCCCUGAGAUCAGCGGCGGACGGGUGAGUAACACGUGGGUAACCUGCCUGUAAGACUGGGAUAACUCCGGGAAACCGGGGCUAAUACCGGAUAACACCUACCCCCGCAUGGGGGAAGGUUGAAAGGUGGCUUCGGCUAUCACUUACAGAUGGACCCGCGGCGCAUUAGCUAGUUGGUGAGGUAAUGGCUCACCAAGGCGACGAUGCGUAGCCGACCUGAGAGGGUGAUCGGCCACACUGGGACUGAGACACGGCCCAGACUCCUACGGGAGGCAGCAGUAGGGAAUCUUCCGCAAUGGACGAAAGUCUGACGGAGCAACGCCGCGUGAGUGAAGAAGGUUUUCGGAUCGUAAAACUCUGUUGUUAGGGAAGAACAAGUGCCGUUCGAAUAGGGCGGCGC
RNAcentral lists this ribosomal RNA (479 nucleotides) under Bacillus sp. (in: firmicutes). RNAcentral's name for it is "bacterial SSU rRNA". It matches the Rfam family "Bacterial small subunit ribosomal RNA", at positions 1 to 475 of the family's 1533-position model. Lineage: Bacteria; Bacillati; Bacillota; Bacilli; Caryophanales; Bacillaceae. The record is from RNAcentral.